UUGUGGAAUCAUGGGAUCAAGGAAGCACAGGAUUGUGGGAUUGUGGUUGGAACUGCAUGAUCUUGAAGGUCUCUUCCAACCCAAGCCGUUCUAUGGGAUCACAACAUCAAGGGAUGGUGCAAUCACAGAAUGAAGGAAUCAUGGAACCAUGGAAUUGUGGGAUCACAAAAUCAUGUAAUCAUGG
Molecule: long non-coding RNA, 184 nt
Organism: Numida meleagris (helmeted guineafowl)
Lineage: Eukaryota; Metazoa; Chordata; Aves; Galliformes; Numididae
Exons: 3
Source: RefSeq, a predicted model, not a curated record